GACGAACGCUGGCGGCGUGCUUAACACAUGCAAGUCGAACGGAAAGGCGCUGCUUUUGUGGGGUGCUCGUGAGGCGAACGGGUGAGUAACACGUGUGUAACCUGCCCUUGACUUUGGGAUAACUUCAGGAAACUGGGGCUAAUACCGGAUAGGAUCUCCUGCUGCAUGGUGGUGGUUGGAAAGUUUCGGCGGUUGGGGAUGGACUCGCGGCUUAUCCGCUUGUUGGUGGGGUAGUGGCUUACCAAGGCUUUGACGGGUAGCCGGCCUGAGAGGGUGACCGGCCACAUUGGGACUGAGAUACGGCCCAGACUCCUACGGGAGGCAGCAGUGGGGAAUAUUGCACAAUGGGCGGAAGCCUGAUGCAGCAACGCCGCGUGCGGGAUGACGGCCUUCGGGUUGUAAACCGCUUUCGCCUGUGACGAAGCGUGAGUGACGGUAAUGUGUAAAGAAGCACCGGCUAACUACGUG
This 468-nucleotide ribosomal RNA is filed under the name uncultured bacterium. RNAcentral's name for it is "partial 16S ribosomal RNA". It matches the Rfam family "Bacterial small subunit ribosomal RNA", at positions 28 to 507 of the family's 1533-position model. The record is from RNAcentral.